This 406-nucleotide ribosomal RNA is filed under the name uncultured bacterium. Its description in RNAcentral is "partial 16S ribosomal RNA". It matches the Rfam family "Bacterial small subunit ribosomal RNA", at positions 30 to 526 of the family's 1533-position model. The record is from RNAcentral.
AUUGAACGCUGGUGGCAGCCCUAACACAUGCAAGUCGAGCGAGCGGCGGACGGGUUAGUAAUGUCUGGGAACCUGCCCGAUGGAGGGGGAUAACUACUGGAAACGGUAGCUAAUACCGCAUACCAUCAGAUGUGCCCAGAGGGGAUUAGCUAGUAGGUGGGGUAACGGCUCACCUAGGCGACGAUCCCUAGCUGGUCUGAGAGGAUGACCAGCCCACCGGGAACUGAGACACGGUCCAGACUCCUACGGGAGGCAGCAGUGGGGAAUAUUGCACAAUGGGCGCAAGCCUGAUGCAGCCAUGCCGCGUGUGUGAAGAAGGCCUUCGGGUUGUAAAGCACUUUCGGCGGGGAGGCGUUACCCGCAGAAGAAGAACCGGCUAACUCAGUGCCAGCAGCCGCGGUAAUAC